AUUGCUUCUCAGCCUUUUAGCUAAGAUCAAGUGCAGUAUCUGUUCUUACCAGAAUAUACAUAUAGUAAAAAUGUCUCCGAAUGGCUCAGAAAAAAAUAAUAUGCAUGCAUUACUUACAUGCAUUACACACA
Molecule: small nuclear RNA, 131 nt
Organism: Cervus hanglu yarkandensis (Yarkand deer)
Lineage: Eukaryota; Metazoa; Chordata; Mammalia; Artiodactyla; Cervidae
Gene: U2
Rfam family: U2 spliceosomal RNA
About the family: U2 is a small nuclear RNA (snRNA) component of the spliceosome (involved in pre-mRNA splicing). Complementary binding between U2 snRNA (in an area lying towards the 5' end but 3' to hairpin I) and the branchpoint sequence (BPS) of the intron results the bulging out of an unpaired adenosine, on the BPS, which initiates a nucleophilic attack at the intronic 5' splice site, thus starting the first of two transesterification reactions that mediate splicing.
Source: Ensembl